GCGGGAAGAGCUCAAAUUUAUAAUCUGGCACCUUCGGUGUCCGAGUUGUAAUCUCUAGAAGUGUUUUCCGCGUUGGACCGCACACAAGUCUGUUGGAAUACAGCGGCACAGUGGUGAUACCCCCGUACACGGUGCGGACGCCCAGCGCUUUGUGAUACACUUUCAAUGAGUCGAGUUGUUUGGGAAUGCAGCUCAAAUUGGGUGGUAAAUUCCAUCUAAAGCUAAAUAUUGGCGAGAGACCGAUAGCGAACAAGUACCGUGAGGGAAAGAUGAAAAGCACUUUGGAAAGAGAGUUAACAGUACGUGAAAUUGUUGGAAGGGAAACGCUUGAAGUCAGACUUGCUUGCCGGAGCUUGCUUCGGUUUGCAGGCCAGCAUCAGUUUUCCGGGGUGGAUAAUGGUGGUUUGAAGGUAGCAGCCUCGGCUGUGUUAUAGCUUUCCACUGGAUACAUCCUGGGGGACUGAGGAACGCAGCGUGCUUUUUGCGAAGGUUUCGACCUUUUCACGCUUAGGAUGCUGGUGUAAUGACUUUAAACGACCCGUCUU
Molecule: ribosomal RNA, 545 nt
Filed under: Rhodotorula kratochvilovae
Lineage: Eukaryota; Fungi; Basidiomycota; Microbotryomycetes; Sporidiobolales; Sporidiobolaceae
Description: partial large subunit ribosomal RNA
Rfam family: Eukaryotic large subunit ribosomal RNA
Source: RNAcentral